AGUGAACGCUGGCGGCAGGCCUAAUACAUGCAAGUCGAACGGCAGCACAGCAGAGCUUGCUCUGUGGGUGGCGAAUGGCGGACGGGUGAGGAAUACAUGGGAAUCUGCCCAGUCGUGGGGGAUAACGUAGGGAAACUUACGCUAAUACCGCAUGCGCCCUUCGGGGGAAAGCCGGGGACCGUUCGGGCCGUGGCGCGAUUGGAUGAGCCCAUGUCGGAUUAGCUAGUUGGCGGGGUAAUGGCCCACCAAGGCGACGAUCCGUAGCUGGUCUGAGAGGAUGAUCAGCCACACUGGAACUGAGACACGGUCCAGACUCCUACGGGAGGCAGCAGUAGGGAAUAUUGGACCAAUGGGCGCAAGCCUGAUCCAGCCAUG
This 375-nucleotide ribosomal RNA is filed under the name uncultured bacterium. RNAcentral describes it as "bacterial SSU rRNA". It matches the Rfam family "Bacterial small subunit ribosomal RNA", at positions 29 to 396 of the family's 1533-position model. The record is from RNAcentral.